RNAcentral lists this ribosomal RNA (429 nucleotides) under Bacteroidota bacterium. Its description in RNAcentral is "Bacteroidetes bacterium partial 16S ribosomal RNA". It matches the Rfam family "Bacterial small subunit ribosomal RNA", at positions 355 to 776 of the family's 1533-position model. The record is from RNAcentral. Lineage: Bacteria; Pseudomonadati; Bacteroidota.
UAGGGAAUCUUCCGCAAUGGACGCAAGUCUGACGGAGCAACGCCGCGUGAGUGAAGAAGGAUUUCGGUUCGUAAAACUCUGUUGUUAGAGAAGAACAGCGCAUAGAGUAACUGUUAUGCGUGUGACGGUAUCUAACCAGAAAGCCACGGCUAACUACGUGCCAGCAGCCGCGGUAAUACGUAGGUGGCAAGCGUUGUCCGGAUUUAUUGGGCGUAAAGCGAGCGCAGGCGGUCAAUUAAGUCUGAUGUGAAAGCCCCCGGCUCAACCGGGGAGGGUCAGUGGAAACUGGGGGACUUGAGUGCAGAAGAGGAGAGUGGAAUUCCAUGUGUAGCGGUGAAAUGCGUAGAUAUAUGGAGGAACACCAGUGGCGAAGGCGACUCUCUGGGCUGUAACUGACGCGGAGGCGCGAAAGCGUGGGGAGCAAACAGG